GACGAACGCUGGCGGCGUGCUUAACACAUGCAAGUCGAACGGAAAGGCCCUGCUUUUGUGGGGUGCUCGAGUGGCGAACGGGUGAGUAACACGUGAGUAACCUGCCCUUGACUUUGGGAUAACUUCAGGAAACUGGGGCUAAUACCGGAUAGGAGCUCCUGCUGCAUGGUGGGGGUUGGAAAGUUUCGGCGGUUGGGGAUGGACUCGCGGCUUAUCAGCUGGUUGGUGGGGUAGGGGCUUACCAAGGCUUUGACGGGUAGCCGGCCUGGGAGGGUGACCGGCCACCUUGGGACUGCGGUACGGCCCAGACUCCUACCGGAGGCAGCAGUGGGAAAUAUUGCACAAUGGGCGGAAGCCUGAUGCAGCAGCGUCGCGUGCGGGAUGCCGGCCUUCGGGUUGUAAACCGCUUUCGCCUGUGACGAAGCGUGAGUGACGGUAAUGGGUAAAGAAGCACCGGCUAACUACGUG
Molecule: ribosomal RNA, 468 nt
Filed under: uncultured bacterium
Lineage: Bacteria
Description: partial 16S ribosomal RNA
Rfam family: Bacterial small subunit ribosomal RNA
Source: RNAcentral